AGAUAAGUGCUGAAAGCAUCUAAGCACGAAACUUGCCCUGAGAUGAGUUCUCCCUGAGACUUAGAGUCUCCUGAAGGAACGUUGAAGACGACGACGUUGAUAGGCCGGGUGUGUAAGCGCAGCGAUGCGUUGAGCUAACCGGUACUAAUGAACCGUGAGGCUUAACCUUACAACGCCGAAG
This 181-nucleotide ribosomal RNA is filed under the name Salmonella enterica subsp. enterica. Its description in RNAcentral is "partial 23S ribosomal RNA". It matches the Rfam family "Bacterial large subunit ribosomal RNA", at positions 2762 to 2925 of the family's 2925-position model. The record is from RNAcentral. Lineage: Bacteria; Pseudomonadati; Pseudomonadota; Gammaproteobacteria; Enterobacterales; Enterobacteriaceae.